AAAAGAAUAUCAAUAAUGAUGCGUAUUUUUUGUUGGUGCUCUACACAUAGGAUGAUCAUUGAAGACGUUGGGUCGGCCCUGGUUUUAUUCUUCAAUCUCCAAAACAAAAAAUUUACUCAAGAUUAAAAUCAAAAUCAUUUUAUCUAAAAAUCAAAUACUUCAUCCGUCCAAAUCUUGACACGUAUUCUUUUUGGGUCGUCCCACAAUCUUGACACAUUUCCAAAUAAGGUAAUAAUUAUUACUUCUCUCUUCUACUUUAUCCCCUUUAUACUUUAUGACAUAAUUUACAACUCCUUAACUCUCGUACCGAAAUCAAACGUAUCAAGAUUCGUGGGAUGGAGGAAGUAAAAAUCUAAAUCAUUUUGGAAUGAGAUUAGCAUGUAACUCGGUUAUAUACGAGCUUUCACAUUUGCUUGAUUACAUACACAAGAAACACGAGGAAGAGCUUCAUAUUUCACUCCAAAGAUCACCGUUUCUAUACCUCCACAAGUUUCACAAUACUAUAUGUAUUAAAACAUACAAAGAAUCAUAUGCAUGUAACUUUUGAGACAAAAUAAUUAGAAUGAGAAUGAGAAUGAGAAUUUUAUUAGAGCAAGCAUUUGAUUGAAGAAUGAAAGUGAGAAAAUAUUAUAGAUGAUUAAAUAAAAAUGUAAGAGCUUAAGUUAUUUCAAUAGCAACUCAAAUUCCAAAAAUCAACAAUAAGAAGUAAUUAUCCCAUCAUUAUAAUUUCCAACUCAACAAUUCAAAGCAUGCCUUCUCGGCCCAAAUGGAUGUAGCCCACUUAAUAGAUUCAUUAGGUUAGCCAUCCUUUUCUUUAUUAAAAAUUUAUGGCACAUUAAGCUUAGGCCCAUUUCUCCCAAAUAGAUUGAAUAAGAUUUUAAAUCCCACCCAUUUGGGCCUUCCUCAAACAGAUGUUACUUUUGUUUUUGUUUUUUUUUAAAGAAAAGGAAAUUGUGUUUGUGUGUGAGGGCAAAAAGGAAAUCUAGCUUAUCGGCGAGCAAUUUUGGGUGAAAAUGAUAAUUAGACUGCAAAUCCCGACCCCGCCAAAACCUGAAAAUACCCAAAUUAACCUCCUUCCCACCACCGCCGACUCCGGCUUCAAAUUCCGGCAGAAGGUGCUUUACCUCCACUCCCUGAGAGUAAAUCCGGCAAAAGCCCUCCAUAAAAACCCUAAUAUCCGUUCUGCCCCUAUUUCCACUCUCCUCUCGGUCACUCAAUGCCUCUCAUCGAUGGGCGUCGAGCUCGCCGCGGCCGGCCGCAUUCUCGACAUGUAUCCGGAGCUCCUCACCGCCGAUCCUUACGAGGACAUAUACCCAAUUCUCGAUUUUCUCAUCAACGUUGUCCGAAUUCCGUUCCCCGAUAUCAGGAAGGCAAUAAUUCGGUGCCCUAGGCUCCUUGUUUCCGAUCCGGAUACCCAAUUGAGACCCGCGUUUCAGUUCCUGACCGAAUUGGGGUUUUCCGGGCCCCAUAGAUUAACCGCUCAGAACACGGUGUUGCUGGUUUCGAGCGUUGAGCUUACUUUGAUUCCCAAGAUAGAAUUUUUGGUGGGGCUAGGGUUUGAGUAUGAUCAAGUGAGGAAUAUGGUGCUGAGGUCGCCGGGGCUGUUGACAUUUAGUGUUGAGAAUAAUUACGUGCCGAAGGUGGAGUAUUUCUUGAAGGAAAUGAAUGGGGAUUUGGAGGAGAUUAAGCGGUUCCCGCAGUAUUUUUCAUUUAGUUUGGAGAAGAAGAUUAAGCCGCGCCAUAGGCUUUUGAUGGAGCAUGGAUUUUCUAUGGCAUUAUCAGAUAUGUUGAAGGUUAGUGAUGGUGAGUUCAAUGCGCGCUUGAUUGAGAGGCGACUGCGGAUGCUGGACUCGAGAUCAUCCUAGCUUUAUGUAAGUUGCUGCUUUUUUACAUUUGUAUAUGAUUGUGUAAUUGGAAUGCUUGUAGAUGGAGAUGUAAAUUCUAGCUUAUUUUUGUAAUGGGCAUGCAGAGUUUUUGUCAUGCGCUGACUUCACAAUUACAGAGAGUUUUGACUUUACAGUUAAAUUUUGUUAACAUACUAAUGCAACAAGUGUGAAAAGUUGAAAGAGUAUUUGAUAUAGGAUUGUGCCAAUUUGAUGGUAGCGACUCCUCUCUUGGUGGUAUAGUUUGUAUACACCAUAGCUUGGGAUGAUGAAGCUGUAGAUUGCAGUCUUACCAAAUGAAAAUGCACAUUGUAAUUUAUCUUUAGCUUGGUUUUCUAUUCCUUAUUAUCUCGUAGGCUUAACCCUAGCUAUAUAAGCUGACUCAUUGCCAAAAGAAAUCUCAUCUAUCCUGCAAAUCUAAACUUCUGUAUCACCAAGCUCAAAACAAGUGUGGGCACAUGUUGUUAAUUAACUUGCAGCAUGAAUUCACUAUAACUUUGUGAGUUACAAUACGAUAGAUUAAGAAUACCUCUUAAUCGACUGAAAACAAUUCAAUAGGAAAGAAUCCCUUCUAAACUAUUGAAAAGCAAAGACACAAAAGUCACUAGACUAUAUAGUGAGUAAAGAGGACUUGUAAACGCCCACAACACUCUAACAACCUAUCAGACUCUACAAACCAAAAGUAUCCCACUCUGAGACCAUAUCCAAUGGGAGUUUUAAAUUAGUGCUCAGGGCUUUUUUGAAGCUUCCAAUCUCUCCAACCCUGCUGCACUUUUCUGCUCUAAAAUGGAGAUUGUUACAGUAUUGCGCUAUUUUUUUUUCUUUUUUCUCUUUUAUGCAUUAUUAUUAUUGUUAUUUUGCAUUAAUUACAAUAGAUUUCUUCUAUUAAUCAAAAGUAGACUAAUUAAAAGUAUCUUUUUGGAGUAUUAGGCUCGAGAUGAAACUGAAAUUUUGCGCUAUUUUGGUGUUAAAGCUAUUGUAUAAUAGCACUGAGCGCUGCAGAUGCCCUAAGUUUACUGGACUCUGAAUGUUGGAAAGAAUGGUGAAUCAACAAGCUCAGAAUCAAACGCUGCAUCUAGCAGUGGACUUUUUCUCUCUAUGAAUUGGUACUGAAUGAAGUGCAAACACCCUCUAUUUAUAGACGUCUGAAAACCUUGAUAACCAAGCUUCUUCAGCAUGUAGGAGUCGACCUCUAACCACUUCAGAUGAGGUAGUUAUGGCUUCCUAAAUCUUAGGUCUUCAAGUAACAAACUUGGUUGAUAAGGUCAACCUUUUUCCUCUAUCUCCAUUUUUCUUAUCCUUUUGAAACUGUCCACCAUUUAAAUAUGCAGACUUAAAAUCUGUAACCUAUGAUUACAAAUUACAAUAUACCAUAUAUAGACUAUAUCUAAAUAUAAUGUAGUGCUAAAAUUUGUACUAGCACCAAGCCUUGGCUCUAAUGAAUCGAAGUUCUUUAGUGUGGUAAACUUCAGGUGAUUGCAAAAUAGAGGGACUUGAUGUAGAUCAACUCAAAACUUCUGGAAAUUCUUUAAUAACCGUGAGUCUACUCGACUUCCUUUUUAUCCCAUUCCACACGCUCUCUUUUCUUGUGGCAAUAGGUUCAAAUCCCUCUUCAUUUUAUAAAUGAAGAAUAAUGAGGAUAUAUCAAGGGAUGUUGCCUGUGGUAUCUAAGAAAUACGAAAACUCAACUGUAAUGGUCCAAUUACUCUUGAGGUUUAAAAGCUCAUAAAAAUGUGGACUGAAGUUCAACUCGGUGUCUAAAUCAGUAGUUUGUCUUAAGGCAACGGAUGAACUUGUUAAAAUUCUAAAUAAAUUUAGAAAUUAUUUCACCGCCCAAAAGUAUAAUUUAGUUGCUAAUACUCAAAUUUGAUCUGUCUUGAUGUUUGUUCUAUGAUGCAACAAGAAGAAUAUGUGCUCAACUAUGUCAUGGAAUCAUCUACUAAUAAAUUCUGAAGUUAAGAUAGUAUUGAAUAUUUUGCUAUUUUGAUUCAUAUUCCAUGGUAGACUUGGUGCAAAGGAUUUCUUGGAUGUUGGUUUUAAGCUUGGGAUGACUAAAAGCACCAUUGCAGCUCGACAUUCCUCUUUCCCUCUUUCAAUUCAUUCAGCUAAGCCCCCUAUAAGCUGUGAAAUUGCCUAGUCAAUACUAUAAUUGGCAUCUUUCACAAUUCUGUUGGAAAAGUAUUUUUUCCCCAUAUAUAAUAUUAUAGUACAUGUAUUAACAGCUCCAUAAAUUUUUGCAAGUGUGAUGUGUUCGAAAAUAAGGUCAUAUAACAGAAUGCAGAAAGCUAUAUUGCAAUAAAAGAGACAGGCUUUUUACCUGCACAAGAUGUUUAAUCACUUCUGCUGCAUGACUCAGAUUUUCAGUUACUGUGGGCAUUGUGCCAAACCUCUCCUCUCUCUGAAAGUCUGGUAACUCAGAAGAUUGAUAAUUGAUCUCAUUGAAAUUCAACACAUAUUAUAUUAUUCAUUAUUGAAUAUACUAGUAAAUGGGAUUCAGCCAUGGUAAGUUGUUGAUUUUACUCCCUCCC
This 4411-nucleotide long non-coding RNA is filed under the name Salvia miltiorrhiza (redroot sage). RNAcentral describes it as "long non-coding RNA (SMIL_LNC007268)". The record is from RNAcentral. Lineage: Eukaryota; Viridiplantae; Streptophyta; Magnoliopsida; Lamiales; Lamiaceae.